Molecule: ribosomal RNA, 458 nt
Filed under: uncultured bacterium
Lineage: Bacteria
Description: partial 16S ribosomal RNA
Rfam family: Bacterial small subunit ribosomal RNA
Source: RNAcentral
CCUACGGGCGGCAGCAGUGAGGAAUAUUGGUCAAUGAGCGAGAGCCUGAACCAGCCAAGCCGCGUGAGGGAGUACUGCCCUAUGGGUUGUAAACCUCUUUUGUCGGGGAGCAAAAGCCGGACGUGUCCGGCUGUGAGAGUACCCGAAGAAAAAGCAACGGCUAACUCCGUGACAGCAGCCGCGGUAAUACGGAGGAUGCGGGCGUUAUCCGGAUUUAUUGGGUUUAAAGGGUGCGCAGGCGGAUUGUUAAGUCAGCGGUAAAAUCGUGGGGCUCAACCCCAUCCAGCCGUUGAAACUGGGGAUCUAGAGUGUGCGAGAGGUAUGCGGAAUGCGUGGUGUAGCGGUGAAAUGCAUAGAUAUCACGCAGAACCCCGAUUGCGAAGGCAGCAUACCGGUGCACAACUGACGCUCAGGCACGAAAGCGUGGGUAUCGAACAGGAUUAGAUACCCCAGUAGUC